Long non-coding RNA from Magallana angulata, 250 nucleotides. RefSeq lists it as uncharacterized. The record is from RefSeq and is a predicted model, not a curated record. The transcript has 2 exons. NCBI's taxonomy places the organism in Eukaryota, Metazoa, Mollusca, Bivalvia, Ostreida, Ostreidae.
GGUUGAAUUAUUAAUGAUUAAUGAACCAUUUAAAGGAUUUUCUUUAAUAAAUACGGUAUUAAAGAUGUCUCUCUUUAUAAUUUUAGUACUGGCUAUAUAGAAGUAAAGAAGAAAUCUGAUGAGAAAUAAAUUAAAGAUGAAAGGAGAAUAAAAAGCUGUAUAGUUCACAGAAAAUGUGAGAUGAGUCUUUCAUGGUUCAUGUGUUUUAGACGUGAUUGUAAUAAAAGAAUAAAGAAUUGUUUUCAUUAUA